Molecule: long non-coding RNA, 530 nt
Organism: Carassius auratus (goldfish)
Lineage: Eukaryota; Metazoa; Chordata; Actinopteri; Cypriniformes; Cyprinidae
Exons: 2
Source: RefSeq, a predicted model, not a curated record
UCUGUCCAAUCACUGCUCACUUCAGGCUGAGGAUUUUUGGACCUCGACCAAGAAAGUGAUCUUGUCUGGAGCUUAAAGACACUUCAUACAGCUUUGCAGACAACAGAUGCCACACGCAGAAAUAGCUGUGGCAGGAACAGUAAAUUCUCCAGCCUUUAAAUCAGGUAUUGUUCCCGCUGUAAAGACCUGCAGGAGACUGAGGACGCAGCAGCUCUGGCGGAUUUACAAGAGACCUGGAGGACUGUGUGUGGCCUGACACUCAGCAGAGCUGGUUAAAUUCAUCCGGGCUCGUCUGUGAAGAGAGGGAGGAUGAGACACUAAAGAAAGACAUAAAAACUCUGACUGCAGUGCAGAUGGCUGCCGGAUCUUCACAUCCACCAUCCACAGACUAAAUGGGGCUUUAAUGAUGUCACUUCUGCCACUUCUUAGGGGACCAGCAGAGCUUUAGUGAAUUAAUCUGGGAAAAGUGAAUAAUAGACAUUUACAUUUACUGCAUGCUUUCAGAAAAAAAAAAAAAAAAAACGAAAAAA